AUUUCCUGGAAGAGGGGUAGCCAGAGGCAAGAGGAGAUGGUUCUCUCAGAUUUUAUUUUGGAGGAAACUGAUGGCUUCAUAUCAGCUACCCAAGAGCAGCUACAGAAGCCCAAGUCAGGCUCCCAUCAGGAAGAAGUGUCAUCUGAUAGGCUAACUGAGAAGGAAUGAAAGACUCUGUGACAUUUGUGUCUGUGAACCCUCCACUCUGCUACAUAAAGAGAUGACAGGGUCAGACUUGGUGACACACCUCUUCAAUCCCAGUACUCAGGAGGCAGAGGCAUAUGGAUCUCUGUGAAAUCGAAGCAAGCCUGGUCAAGUGAGUUCU
Nannospalax galili (Upper Galilee mountains blind mole rat) is the source of this 325-nucleotide long non-coding RNA. RefSeq lists it as uncharacterized. NCBI's taxonomy places the organism in Eukaryota, Metazoa, Chordata, Mammalia, Rodentia, Spalacidae. The transcript is spliced from 4 exons. The record is from RefSeq and is a predicted model, not a curated record.